This 422-nucleotide RNase P RNA is filed under the name Verrucomicrobiales bacterium. RNAcentral's name for it is "RNase P RNA component class A". It matches the Rfam family "Bacterial RNase P class A". From Rfam's summary of the family: Ribonuclease P (RNase P) is a ubiquitous endoribonuclease, found in archaea, bacteria and eukarya as well as chloroplasts and mitochondria. Lineage: Bacteria; Pseudomonadati; Verrucomicrobiota; Verrucomicrobiia; Verrucomicrobiales. The record is from RNAcentral.
AAACAAUCCGGAGACGAUCACUGGUCCUUUCGGGGAUUAGAGGAAAGUCCGGACACCAUACGGCAGUAUGCCCGGUGAAAAUCGGGGAGCUUGGUUGUAAUGGCCGAGUGACGGAAAGUGUCGCAGAAAAUAAACCGCCUCGCAUUUGUGAGGUAAGGGUGAAAUGGCGAGGUAAGAGCUCACCGCCCCGGAGGUAACGACGGGGGCAGGAAAAACCCCAUGCGGUGCAAGACAGAACAGGACAAACGGGUUGCCGGCCCGGUGUCGUGGCUUCGGUCACGGUAUAAGUCCGGGUAUUAGUCGCAUCCUGUGUAUGCAGGAGAGGUCGGGUCCUAUGAGGAACCGGUUUCAGAUAAAUGAUCGUCCGCUGCAGUCGAAUACGGCUCAGUGAACAGAAUCCGGCUUACGGGGAUUGUUUCAGA